UACGGAGGGGGCUAGCGUUGUUCGGAAUUACUGGGCGUAAAGCGCACGUAGGCGGCUUUGUAAGUUAGAGGUGAAAGCCCGGAGCUCAACUCCGGAAUUGCCUUUAAGACUGCAUCGCUAGAAUUGUGGAGAGGUGAGUGGAAUUCCGAGUGUAGAGGUGAAAUUCGUAGAUAUUCGGAAGAACACCAGUGGCGAAGGCGACUCACUGGACACGUAUUGACGCUGAGGUGCGAAAGCGUGGGGAGCAAACAGG
Molecule: ribosomal RNA, 253 nt
Filed under: uncultured bacterium
Lineage: Bacteria
Description: partial 16S ribosomal RNA
Rfam family: Bacterial small subunit ribosomal RNA
Source: RNAcentral